GUGUGAGGUGGUGCUAUGUAGCAGGAACCCCUCUUGCUUUGCAAAUAGUUUUUUGUUUGUUUUCCUUUUUGCCCAAUAGAGCCCUGCUCUACUGACCCUUCAAUGUGCCCGUGUGCCUAAAUAUUCCUGGUCGUGUGAAAAGAACCCAGGUAUUAGCUGAACUAAGGAGCACAAUUCUGCAACAUUUUGGCACCCAAACACGGGGCUUGAGAAAUGAAUGCAAUUGGAGAAACUGGUUGUUUUACCAGGCGUUGAUUGGAAAUGUGUGCUUCCCUUUAAGCAGUCAAGCUCAACUUGCAGAACUGAUGGGAACCCCUUGGGAAAACUGGCCUCAAAUGUUUGUCUACACAGUCCACAUACAGGGUUCUUAACCUGCGACUGACCCUGCUUGUGCCUGUGAACCAACCAACAAUCUCUGGCUGCAGCUCAGAAAGGACAAAAGAGAAUGGAUGAGGGAAACUUCCCAGGGCUUGUCUGGGUAUGCCCACAGUGGACUGGAGCCCAAAAUGCACACUGGAGGAAGUGGAUGGAGCCACGUGGAUGUCAUGCCUUAUGCAGGGGAGGAGCCUGCUCUCUUCAGCUCCUGUGGUAAUGUGGGAAUCGAUCUGUGAGGAAACACUUUCUGAAAAUGUCAGAACUCUUGAAAACAUGGAUGAGGAAAAGCAUAAGUACUGCUUUAUGCUUUUCUUAUGAAUUUUAAAAGAUGUAAUUUAAAGAUUGAAACUCCCACAACUUUGGCAGACCAACUCCUCAGAAAACAUUAUUCUUUGACAUCAAUAUGUUUUGCACAAAAUUGAAUGGCAAGUGAAAGGCAUCAAAUGAUGGAGUCUUGUUCUGUGGUCCAGGCUAGAGGGCAGUGGCAUGAUCUCGGCUCACUACAAGCUCUGCCUCCCGGGUUCACGCCAUUCUCCUGCCUCAGCCUCCUGAGUAGCUGGGACUACAGGCGCCCGCCACCACGCCUGGCUAAUUUUUUGUAUAUUUACUAGAGAUGGCUAGUGUUAGCCAAGAUGGUCUCGAUCUCCUGACCUCGUGAUCUGCCCACCUCAGCCUGCCAAAGUGCUGGGAUUACUGGCGUGAGCCACCGUGCCUGGCCAGCAUCCUCUAAUUAUUAUUCAUAGUUUGUGAAUUUAGGCCUACGUGAAUAAUAAUAUAAUAUUUACUAUGAUGUUACUAUCUACCAACCUUAUUUUUCUUUUCUAUAAAAUAGGAGCCAAAAUAAUAUUUAUGUCAUACCUUAUGAAGUUAAAAUAAAAUAUAACGAAUGAGGGGCUUAA
RNAcentral lists this long non-coding RNA (1274 nucleotides) under Homo sapiens (human). RNAcentral's name for it is "p53 upregulated regulator of p53 levels". The record is from RNAcentral. Lineage: Eukaryota; Metazoa; Chordata; Mammalia; Primates; Hominidae.